GACGAACGCUGGCGGCGUGCCUAAUACAUGCAAGUAGAACGCUGAAGCGAGGAGCUUGCUCUUCUUGGCUGAGUUGCGAAAGGGGGAGUAACGCGUAGGUAACCUGCCUUGUAGCGGGGGGUAACUAUUUGAAACGAUAGCUAAAACCGCAUAACACUGGAUUACACAUGUCAUUUAUUUGAAAGGGGCAAUUGCUCCACUACAAGAUGGACCUGCGUUGUAUUAGCUAGUAGGUGAGGUAAUGGCUCACCUAGGCGACGAUACAUAGACGACCUGAGAGGGUGAUCGGCCACCAUGGGACGGAGACACGGCCCAGACUCCUACGGGAGGCAGCAGUAGGGAAUCUUCGGCAAUGGGGGCAAACCUGACCGAGCAACGCCGCGUGAGUGAAGAAGGUUGUCGGAUCGUAAAGCUCUGUUGUAAGUCAAGAACGGGUGUGAGAGUGGAAAGUUCACACUGUGACGGUAGCUUACCAGAAAGGGACGGCUAACUACGUG
This 497-nucleotide ribosomal RNA is filed under the name uncultured bacterium. Its description in RNAcentral is "partial 16S ribosomal RNA". It matches the Rfam family "Bacterial small subunit ribosomal RNA", at positions 28 to 507 of the family's 1533-position model. The record is from RNAcentral.